Molecule: long non-coding RNA, 325 nt
Filed under: Citrus sinensis (sweet orange)
Lineage: Eukaryota; Viridiplantae; Streptophyta; Magnoliopsida; Sapindales; Rutaceae
Description: long non-coding RNA (CSIN_LNC005547)
Source: RNAcentral
CGAAACAGUCAAGCACAACAUAGCAGGCUUCCAUAUGCAGAAGCAGACCACCAGAAAAGUAUCUGUUCCUUUCCUGUCCUCCACAACCACAAGGUAGCCCGUAGCCACGGCUCCUCCUCUUUCCUAGAAAUAAACACACCCGCAAGUUGCUGGAUUCCACUCGCACUCUUCUCUUAUAUAUAUAUAUAUAUGUCACCCAGCCCAUAUCCUUGAUCAAUCACACAAUUUCUAAAAGCUUAAUUUAAUAAGGACUUGUACCUAGUAUUUGAUCGAUCAUAAAUAUUCAUCAACAAUAUAAUUAAUGGCUCCAGGGGGGAUCAACAGU